RNAcentral lists this long non-coding RNA (202 nucleotides) under Mytilus galloprovincialis (Mediterranean mussel). The record is from RNAcentral. Lineage: Eukaryota; Metazoa; Mollusca; Bivalvia; Mytilida; Mytilidae.
GUCCAAUCAGCUUGAAACUUAGUACACAUGUUCCCUAUGAUAUGAUCUGUAUGUUUAUGCUUAAUUGGAGUUUGACCCCUAUUUCACGGUCCAUUACACAUAGAAAAUGAUAGUGAGAGUGGGGCAUCCGUGUACUAUGGACACAUUCUUGUUUAGAAUCUACAAUAAUUUCUAAAUUUACAGUAGACAUAAAAAUAAGGGG